UUAAAGGAAUUGACGGAAGGGCACUACCAGGAGUGGAGCCUGCGGCUUAAUUUGACUCAACACGGGGCACCUCAUCAGGUCCGGACAUGAAUGCGAUGGACAGAUCGAUAGCUCUUUCUAGAUCUCAUGGAUGGUGGUGCAUGGCCGUUCCUAGUUCGUGGAGUGAUUUGUCUGGUUAAUUCCGAUAACGAGCGAGACUCUAACUUACUAACUAAGACGGAUGAUAUACACGAGGUUCGUUUGCUGUAUGCGUAUGCUGUACUUGUACGUCUCGUUCGUCCGUACGUGUGCGUGUGUGUGUGUGUAUGGUUGUUGUUAUCGUUUAGGCGGUAGCAGCGGCUUGCACGCGCGCGUGGGUGCACGUCGGCGGCGUGUGUCUGGUAUACUGCUGCGCUAUAGCUCGGGCCAUACUAUCGGCGACAAUAAAAUCUUCUUAGAAGUAUAAGCUAUAUAUAGUAGCAUGAAAGAGAGCGAUAACAGGUCAGUGAUGCCCUUAGAUGUCCUGGGCCGCACGCGUGCGACAAUGAAAGAGGCAAUAGGUUUCCUAGACCGAAAUGUCCGGGUAAUCCUAGCAAUCUCUUUCGUGUUGGGGAUUGGGGCUUGAAAGUGCUUCCCAUGAACGAGGAAUUCCCAGUAAGCACAGUUUAUCAAUCUGUGCUGAUUGAGUCCCUGCCCUUUGUACACACCGCCCGUCGCUACUACCGAUGAGCGGGCUAGCGAGAUCUUCGGACCGGCGCCUCGAAAGAGGUCGUCUACCGGAAAGUUGAUCAAACUUGUCUGUUUAGAGGAAGUAAAA
Molecule: ribosomal RNA, 796 nt
Filed under: Fustiger sp. Costa Rica JP-2014
Lineage: Eukaryota; Metazoa; Arthropoda; Insecta; Coleoptera; Staphylinidae
Description: bacterial SSU rRNA
Rfam family: Eukaryotic small subunit ribosomal RNA
Source: RNAcentral